CACAUGCAAGUCGAACGGAAAGGCCUGGUGCUUGCACUGGGUACUCGAGUGGCGAACGGGUGAGUAACACGUGGGUGAUCUGCCCUCAACUUUGGGAUAAGCCUGGGAAACUGGGUCUAAUACCGGAUAGGAACAAUCUUUAGUGUGGUAGUUGGAAAGCUUUUGCGGUUGGGGAUGAGCUCGCGGCCUAUCAGCUUGUUGGUGGGGUAAUGGCCUACCAAGGCGUCGACGGGUAGCCGGCCUGAGAGGGUGUACGGCCACAUUGGGACUGAGAUACGGCCCAGACUCCUACGGGAGGCAGCAGUGGGGAAUAUUGCACAAUGGGCGGAAGCCUGAUGCAGCGACGUCGCGUGGGGGAUGAAGGUCUUCAGGUUAUAAACUCCUUUCGACAGGGACGAAGCUUUUGUGACGGUACCUGUAUAAGAAGCACCGGCUAACUACGUGCCAGCAGCCGCGGUAAUACGUAGGGUGCGAGCGUUGUCCGGAAUUACUGGGCGUAAAGAGCUCGUAGGUGGUUCGUCGCGUCGUCUGUGAAAUUCCGGGGCUUAACUCCGAGCGUGCAGGCGAUAC
This 570-nucleotide ribosomal RNA is filed under the name Corynebacterium argentoratense. Its description in RNAcentral is "bacterial SSU rRNA". It matches the Rfam family "Bacterial small subunit ribosomal RNA", at positions 52 to 633 of the family's 1533-position model. The record is from RNAcentral. Lineage: Bacteria; Bacillati; Actinomycetota; Actinomycetes; Mycobacteriales; Corynebacteriaceae.